GGCGGCAUGGCCAAGUGGUAAGGCAGGGGACUGCAAAUCCUUUACCCCUAGUUCAAAUCUAGGUGCCGCCC
Molecule: transfer RNA, 71 nt
Organism: Sorghum bicolor (sorghum)
Lineage: Eukaryota; Viridiplantae; Streptophyta; Magnoliopsida; Poales; Poaceae
Rfam family: tRNA
About the family: Transfer RNA (tRNA) molecules are approximately 80 nucleotides in length. Their secondary structure includes four short double-helical elements and three loops (D, anti-codon, and T loops).
Source: Rfam